GAUGAAGAACGUAGCGAAAUGCGAUACGUAAUGUGAAUUGCAGAAUUCAGUGAAUCAUCGAGUCUUUGAACGCACAUUGCGCCCCCUGGUAUUCCGGGGGGCAUGCCUGUCCGAGCGUCAUUGCUGCCCUCAAGCACGGCUUGUGUCUUGGGCCUCCGUCCUCCUCCCGGGGGACGGGCCCGAAAGGCAGCGGCGGCACCGCGUCCGGUCCUCGAGCGUAUGGGGCUUCGUCACCCGCUCUUGUAGGCCCGGCCGGCGCUUGCCGACACAUCAAUCUUUUUUCCAGGUUGACCUCGGAUCAGGUAGGGAUACCCGCUGAACUUAAGCAUAUCAAUAAGCGGAGGA
RNAcentral lists this unclassified non-coding RNA (345 nucleotides) under soil metagenome. Its description in RNAcentral is "partial contains 5.8S ribosomal RNA, internal transcribed spacer 2, and large subunit ribosomal RNA". The stretch from base 1 to 120 matches the Rfam family "5.8S ribosomal RNA", at positions 35 to 154 of the family's 154-position model. The record is from RNAcentral.